Molecule: small RNA, 643 nt
Filed under: Pan troglodytes (chimpanzee)
Lineage: Eukaryota; Metazoa; Chordata; Mammalia; Primates; Hominidae
Description: retained intron
Source: RNAcentral
CCUUCCCCUUCUCCCGCGUCCCUCAGGAGUGCAGCCGCGCAGGUGGCAACUGCUGCAAGAAAUGCACACUGACUCACGACGCCAUGUGCAGCGACGGGCUCUGCUGUCGCCGCUGCAAGUACGAACCACGGGGUGUGUCCUGCCGAGAGGCCGUGAACGAGUGCGACAUCGCGGAGACCUGCACCGGGGACUCUAGCCAGUGCCCGCCUAACCUGCACAAGCUGGACGGUUACUACUGUGACCAUGAGCAGGGCCGCUGCUACGGAGGUCGCUGCAAAACCCGGGACCGGCAGUGCCAGGUUCUUUGGGGCCAUGCGGCUGCUGAUCGCUUCUGCUACGAGAAGCUGAAUGUGGAGGGGACGGAGCGUGGGAGCUGUGGGCGCAAGGGAUCCGGCUGGGUCCAGUGCAGUAAGCAGGACGUGCUGUGUGGCUUCCUCCUCUGUGUCAACAUCUCUGGAGCUCCUCGGCUAGGGGACCUGGUGGGAGACAUCAGUAGUGUCACCUUCUACCACCAGGGCAAGGAGCUGGACUGCAGGGGAGGCCACGUGCAGCUGGCGGACGGCUCUGACCUGAGCUAUGUGGAGGAUGGCACAGCCUGCGGGCCUAACAUGUUGUGCCUGGACCAUCGCUGCCUGCCAGCUUC